UCCCACCAAAGAUUCCAACAAAGCAGUCAUUCUUUCCAUUUCUUCUUUCAAUGAAUUCACUUCCUCACUAAGUUCUCUUUUUAUCUUUCUCAAUUGUCUCCAUCUCUCGUCUUAAGUUGACACAAGUAUUGUACCAGUGGGCCAUCUUGUCUUCUACGAAGACGAAAGAAAAUGAAUGAGACUCUAAAAGACUUGCAAAGAGCAAGACCAAAU
This 213-nucleotide long non-coding RNA is filed under the name Lathyrus oleraceus (garden pea). RNAcentral describes it as "Pisum sativum (pea) long non-coding RNA (PSAT_LNC040235)". Lineage: Eukaryota; Viridiplantae; Streptophyta; Magnoliopsida; Fabales; Fabaceae. The record is from RNAcentral.